UAACCUCGGAUUAGGUAGGAAUACCUGCUAAAUUUAAAUAUAUUAAUAAGUAGAGGAAAAGAAAUUAAUAGGGAUUGCCCUAAUAAUGGCGAGUAAAGUGGUAAUAAUUUAAAUUUAAAAUUUAGCUUCGGUCCGAAUUGUAAUUUAUAGAGGAAACUUUUAGUGAGGCACCUUCUAAAUCCCUUAGAAUAGAGCGCUAUAGAAGGUAAGAACCUUGUAUAGUCGGAUGCUAAUUUAAUAUAAAGUUCCUUUAACGAAUUGAAUAAUUUAGGAAUAUUAUUUAAAAUAGGAGGUAAAUUUCUUUUAAAGUUAAAUACCGGUUAGAGACUAAUAGUAUAUAAAUAGAGUAAUUAAAAAAUAAAAAGUAUUUUGAAAAGAGGGUUAAAUAGUAUAUAAAAUUAUUAAAAGGGAAGUGUUUGUAAUUAGACUUAUAUUAUUCCAAUUAUCCGGUAUUUUUACCGGUAUAUUUGGGACGGUUUAGGCUAAUAUUAAUUUUAGUAGGGGGAUAAAGGUCCGGAGAAUAUAGCUCCUCCGGGAGUAUUAUAGCCCUAGGCGUAAUGCCUUUGUUGGGACCGAGGUUCGUGUAUUUGUAAGGAUGCUAGUAUAAUAGUUAUUAAUAACCUAUUUUAAAAUACGGAUUAAGGAGUUAAGGUUUUACGCGAGUAUUUAAGUAUAAAACUUAUAUAUAUAAUAAAAAUAAAUAUAGGUAAAAGUUUCAAUAUAUUAUUAACCAAUUUUAAUAUAUUCGGAUAGAUUUAAGUAAGAGCGUUAAACUUUGGACUUAAAAGAUAGUAAAUUAUACUUAAAUAGGGUGAAGCUAGAGGAAAUUCUAAUAGAAGCUUGUAGCGGUUUUAAUGUAUAAAUCGAUUGUUAAAUUUAAAUAUAGGAGCGAAAGAUUAAUCGAACUAUUUAAUAGUUAAUUACCGCCGAAAUUUCCCUUAAAAUAGUAGUAUUAUUCUUUAGUUUUAUAAGGUAAAGCGAAUAAUUAGGGAUUUGGGGGCGCUUUUUAACUUUUAUUUAUUUUUAAAUUUUAAAUAUAUAAGAAGCCCUUAUUAUUUAAUUAAAUAUGGGUAUUCGAAUGUAUUAAUAUUAGUAGGCUAUUUUUGGUAAAUAGAAUUAAUAAUAUAAAAUAAACCGAACGUAGGGUUAAGGUACUAGAGUAGACGUUUAUUAAAUACUAUAAAAGGCGUUAAUAUAUUUUAAUAGUAGGAUGGUAACUAUAGAAGUUGGAAUUUACUAAGGAUUGUAUAAUAAUUUACUUAUUAAAUAUACUAGCUUUAAAAAUAGAUAGCGCUUAAGCGUUCUACCUAUACUCUAUUUUUAGGGUAGAAAUAAUACUUUAAGAAGUAGGCGGCCGUAGAGGUUAGUAAUAAAGCCUAGGGCGUAAAUUCGGAUUAAACGGCCUUUAAUAUAGAUUUUAAUAAUAAUAAUAAAUAUUUUAAUAAGAAUUUAAAGGACCGAAGUAGGGAAAAGUUCUAUAUAAAUAGCAGUUGGAUAUAGGUUAAUCGAUUUUAAACUAUAGGGAAGUUCCGUUUUAAAGGGGUAUUUGUACCUUAUAUAGCGAAAGGGAAGUUGGUUAAUAUUCUAGUACCUAAAUGUAGGUUUUGCACAGUAAUGUAAUUGAAUACGGAGAUAACGGCGGGGGCCCUAAGUAAAAUUCUCUUUUUUUUUUAAUAGUCUAUUAUUUUAAAAAUAAUUUAUUUGGAAAUAGGGUUUAAUAGCCGGAAGAGCCCGAUAUUUCUAUCGGGUCCGGUACGCUUUCGAUAUCCCUUAAAAAUCUAUAGGAGGGAAUAAUUCUUACGCUAAGUCGUAUUUAUAACUAUAGUAGGUCUCUAAGGUAAAUAGCCUCUAAUUGAUAGAAUAAUAUAGAUAAGGGAAGUCGGUAAAAUAGAUCUAUAAUUUUAAGAAAAGGAUUAGUUCUAAGGGUUAGGUAUAUCGGGCUUUAGGUAAAUGCCCUAGGAGUAGAUCGCUACUAAUUGGGCAACUAGCCGGUAGCUUUUAGCAUCCGGGUAUAGAAGCCUUUAAUAAACUUCGGUUGUCCGGCGUACGUUUAAUAACUAAUUUAGAAUUGGUACGGAUAAGGGGAAUUUAAUUAUUUAAUUAAAAUAUAGUAUUAUAAUAGCUAAAAAGUAGUAUUAAUAUAAUGUAAUUUUUACUUAGUAUUCUAAAUAUUAAAGUGAAGAAAUUCAAUUAAGUGUAGGUAAACGGCGGGAGUAAUUAUAAUUCUCUUAAAGUAGUUAAAUACUUUAUUAUUUAAUUAGUAAUAUAUAUAAAUAGAUUAAUAAAAUUCCUACUAUCCCUAUUUAUUAUUUAAUAAAACUAUAGUUAAGGGAAUAGGUUUAAUAGAAUUAGUAGAGAAAGAAGACCCUAUUAAAUUUAAUUUUAAUUUAAUAUUAUAAAAAGAUAUAGGAGGUAUAGAAUAGGUAAAAACUUUAGUGCUAGUAAAAUACUACUACUCCUAUUAUUUUUUUACUUAUUUAAUUAAGCGGGGCUAAAUUUUCAUCCAACUUCUAAUUUUAAGGUCCUUCGCAGGCCGACCCGGAUUAAAGAUAUUAUUAGGUAGGGAGUUUAGUUGGGGCGGUAUAUUUAUUAAACUAUAACGCAAGUAUCCUAAGGAGGGCUUAUAGAAAAUAGAAAUCUCUAAUAGAAUAAAAGGGUAAAAGUCCCCUUAAUUUUAAUUUUUAAUAUAAAUAUAAAUUAUAAAAGUAUAGCCUAUUAAUCCUUUAAUCCCUCGAAAUUUAAAGCUAGAAGUACUAAAAAAGUUACUACAAGGAUAAUUAGCUUAUAGCGGCUAAAUAUUUAUAGCAAUAUUGCUUUUUAAUUUUUUAAUAUCAGCUCUUCCUAUUAUACUAAAAUAGAAUUCAGUAAGCGUUAGAUUAUUUACCUACUAAUAGGGAAUAUAAAUUAGGUUUAGACUAUUAUAAGAUAGGUUAGUUUUACCCUACUAAUAACCUUAUUACAAUAGUAAUUAAAUUUAGUACGAAAGGAACCGCUUAUUUAGAUAAUUAGUUUUUAUAAUUGUUCGACCGGGUAGUAUUACAAUAUUACUAUUUAUUAGAUAAUAACUAAACGCUUUUAAAUUAGAAUUUAUAUUAGAAUACAAUAAUACUUCUAAUAUAUUAUAAAUAUAUAAAAAUAGGCUCCGGCCUCGUAUUUUAGUAAGCGAUUCCUCUAUUGGCCUUAAAGUAGCUAGUGGUAAUUUGCGUAUUAUAAUUUUAAUAUAUAUUAAAUUAAAUCCUUUAUAGAUAAUUUAAAUAUACGAAAGGGUCCUAUAAAUAGUAGAAUAGCUUUAUUAUUACAAUCUGCUAAGAAUAAACCCUCCUUCGCUUAAAUUUCC
This is a ribosomal RNA of Neurospora crassa OR74A, 3337 nucleotides long. It matches the Rfam family "Eukaryotic large subunit ribosomal RNA". Lineage: Eukaryota; Fungi; Ascomycota; Sordariomycetes; Sordariales; Sordariaceae. The record is from Rfam.